GAUGAACGCUAGCGGCGCGCCUAACACAUGCAAGUCGAACGAUUAAAGCACCUUCGGGUGUGUAUAAAGUGGCGAACGGCUGAGUAACACGUGGGCAACCUGCCCCUUUCAUUGGGAUAGCCACGGGAAACCGUGGAUAAUACCGAAUACUUCGAGACUUCCGCAUGGAAGACUCGAGAAAGCUCCGGCGGAGAGGGAUGGGCCCGCGGCCUGUUAGCUUGUUGGUGGGGUAACGGCCUACCAAGGCAAUGAUGGGUAGCUGGGUUGAGAGACCGACCAGCCAGAUUGGGACUGAGAUACGGCCCAGACUCCUACGGGAGGCAGCAGUGGGGAAUCUUGCACAAUGGGCGAAAGCCUGAUGCAGCGACGCCGCGUGCGGGAUGAAGGCCUUCGGGUUGUAAACCGCUUUCAGCAGGGACGAGGCGAAAGUGACGGUACCUGCAGAAGAAGCCCCGGCUAACUACGUGCCAGCAGCCGCGGUAAUACGUAGGGGGCAAGCGUUAUCCGGAUUCAUUGGGCGUAAAGCGCUCGUAGGCGGUCUGUUAGGUCGGGAGUUAAAUCCGGGGGCUCAACCCCCGCUCGCUCUCGAUACCGGCAGACUUGAGUUUGGUAGGGGAAGGUGGAAUUCCUAGUGUAGCGGUGGAAUGCGCAGAUAUUAGGAAGAACACCAGUGGCGAAGGCGGCCUUCUGGGCCAUAACUGACGCUGAGGAGCGAAAGCUAGGGGAGCAAACAGG
RNAcentral lists this ribosomal RNA (735 nucleotides) under uncultured Atopobium sp. RNAcentral describes it as "bacterial SSU rRNA". It matches the Rfam family "Bacterial small subunit ribosomal RNA", at positions 28 to 776 of the family's 1533-position model. Lineage: Bacteria; Bacillati; Actinomycetota; Coriobacteriia; Coriobacteriales; Atopobiaceae. The record is from RNAcentral.